ACAGAUAAGUAAUGAUGAAAUCAUAUGUUCAUAAUAAGAAUACCCUCGAUAUUUCAUAUGGUUUUUACUACAUUUACAGGGUACUUGCAAUCUCUAUAACUACGCUUCUUUGCAACCGUGUUUUCAAAGGGGAAGGGAACAGUGUUUAAAUCAAAGUUGUGCUUUGAAGGCGCAGGCUUCUCUUUCGCCACGAGGAGGCUCUAUUGUAAAGACUUUCAAGCAAUUUCCACAUCUUCCUCACCUGCCAAGGAUCCCUCUUUAUCCAGAGCUUGCUGAAGAAUUCAAAGACCCUUCUCAGAACCUUGAAACUAAAAGUGGCUUAUGUGCAAAAUCCAAGGGGGAUUGCAUUGUCCUAGAUCCUUACAGAAACUAAUCCAAAGUAUGCUUCCCUACUCAGUUAUCACUUCUAUCCAUUCCACGAAAACCUUGUUACAAUUCUGCAUCACAGAGGAAGCAAAUAGGCAAAACAAGCACUUCUCCCUCUCCAGUAGCUUGCUGUUUAUCACAGGAUAUCAUCCCAAAGAAGUUCUCUGUCUUUCAAUGAAGACAGUACAGACCAUUUUGUGAUACACAAUCUGUAACUGCUUAAAAACUUCAGAUGACCCAGACUACCUUUGGUCACUAUUAGAAGACAAAAGUUUUGUGGGCUUUGGGAAAUUGUUUCUGAUGAGUCACGGGGGGGGCAUUUUGGAUCAAUCUGUACAAACCCAUCUGUUUUUAUCACCUCAGUGCAAUCCUGAAGCAUGGCCAGGAGCAGAUACAGAUGUCACUGGCCUGUUUAUUUUCUCAUAGGGCCAAGGCACUCAACCUAAUCUGAAAUAGACAGCUGUUCCUGCAAAUGGUGAAAAAAAACAAACUCUACAGGUAAACUGCUGAUCAGAGCUCCUGUGGAUCCUGCAUUACUCAGUAGCUAUUCUUUUGACCCCAUACACUUAAAUGUUCAAUGCACUAUUUUCUCUGCUUACCCUGGAAGGUCUUCAACAAAGGACAAAAAUAACCAGCUUGUGGUUCCAGUACAGGCAGGAAGAAUUUAAUUUUACCUGUUCACACAAAUACUCGACUAUUUCUCAUCCAACGUUAUGUAAAUAUAUCCCAAGCUUAAAGACAAGGUCCAAUUGCUAUAUGUAUUGAGCUUGCUAUUACAGAAAAAGAAUUUAACUUUAUUUUCAUGUACAGCUUCAGAAUAUAUAGAGCAUAGAAAAUGUUAUAUUAUAAAGGCAUAUCAGGUAGAAAGAAUAUCUUAAAACACAUUUGUCCUGUUAAAACUCUAGUUCAGACUGUUUUGGCAUUUGUUUUCUUCGUAUGUAGAAAUUCCCAUCUGCUGUGUUUUAUGUGGCAUUGUGCAUAUGCUGCUGUUUUGUACAUCAUGGUGUGCUUUUUACUUUUAGCUAAAGAGACAUGGAAUUAAUUAAAUUACUGUGGAAUUAA
Apus apus (common swift) is the source of this 1428-nucleotide long non-coding RNA. RefSeq lists it as uncharacterized. Lineage: Eukaryota; Metazoa; Chordata; Aves; Apodiformes; Apodidae. The record is from RefSeq and is a predicted model, not a curated record. The transcript has 2 exons.